GACGGAGGGUGCAAGCGGUGGUCGGAAUCACUGGGCGUAAAGCGCGUGUAGGCGGUUUGAUAAGUCGAAUGUUAAAGCCCGAGGCUCAACCUCGGAAGUGCAUUCGAAACUGUCAGGCUUGAGUACGGGAGAGGGAAGUGGAAUUCCUGGUGUAGAGGUGAAAUUCGUAGAUAUCAGGAGGAACACCGGUGGCGAAGGCGGCUUCCUGGACCGAUACUGACGCUGAGACGCGAAAGCGUGGGGAGCAAACAGG
Molecule: ribosomal RNA, 253 nt
Filed under: uncultured bacterium
Lineage: Bacteria
Description: partial 16S ribosomal RNA
Rfam family: Bacterial small subunit ribosomal RNA
Source: RNAcentral